Molecule: ribosomal RNA, 498 nt
Filed under: Xanthomonas boreopolis
Lineage: Bacteria; Pseudomonadati; Pseudomonadota; Gammaproteobacteria; Lysobacterales; Lysobacteraceae
Description: bacterial SSU rRNA
Rfam family: Bacterial small subunit ribosomal RNA
Source: RNAcentral
AGUGAACGCUGGCGGUAGGCCUAACCAUGCAAGUCGAACGGCAGCACAGGAGAGCUUGCUCUCUGGGUGGCGAGUGGCGGACGGGUGAGGAAUGCAUCGGAAUCUACUCUGUCGUGGGGGAUAACGUAGGGAAACUUACGCUAAUACCGCAUACGACCUACGGGUGAAAGCAGGGGACCUUCGGGCCUUGCGCGAUUGAAUGAGCCGAUGCCCGAUUAGCUAGUUGGCGGGGUAAGAGCCCACCAAGGCGACGAUCGGUAGCUGGUCUGAGAGGAUGAUCAGCCACACUGGAACUGAGACACGGUCCAGACUCCUACGGGAGGCAGCAGUGGGGAAUAUUGGACAAUGGGCGCAAGCCUGAUCCAGCCAUACCGCGUGGGUGAAGAAGGCUUCGGGUUGUAAAGCCCUUUUGUUGGGAAAGAAAAGCAGCCGGUUAUACCGGUUGUUCUGACGGUACCAAAGAUAAGCACGGCUAACUUCGUGCCACAGCGGGGGAAA